Long non-coding RNA from Syzygium oleosum, 1154 nucleotides. RefSeq lists it as uncharacterized. Lineage: Eukaryota; Viridiplantae; Streptophyta; Magnoliopsida; Myrtales; Myrtaceae. The record is from RefSeq and is a predicted model, not a curated record. The transcript is spliced from 4 exons.
ACAUCCGUCACAGAAAUGAGAGCCGAAAUUCUUCUGGAUCGAAAAUUCCCUUCAGUCUUUAAGCUUUCUCCAUUAUUUCUGAACGUUGUCUGAGGCAUCGAUUAUCUCCGUCUUCAGUUUCUAAGACGCAAUUGCAAUGCUCUGUUUCCGCUCUGUUUCGCAGCCAAAAUGCUUUGAAGUAAUUGGACUUUGCUCGAUCCUACUCCUACAGCGUCAACCACUGGCCACGACGUCUUGGAAAUUCUGGUUCUCUGUUUAAUCAAUGCUCCUGGUCAUUGCAUCUGCCAGCCUCUGAAUUUGGAAUUGAAAAACUGAGUGGCUCAUUAAACGUCAUGGAUGUCGUUUGGCUAUUGGAUAUGAGGGAAAUGGAAGAAAAUCUUGAGUAUCUAGAAGCGUUGGACCAAGCACUCAUAGUAAAUGAAAGUAACACCAAUGAUGAGAUUCAAGAAGCUCCCGAAGAAUUGAUAGAUAUAUUAGAAGACACAUACAGUGAUCCUAAGGUCGACGGCAACGUCCAACUGAAGUCAACCAAGACUUCAAUCCUCCGGCGAAGCCCCUCUCGAACAAGUACGCCUUAAAAUGCGCCGUCGUGACCUCCAUUACCUCUAUUUUACUCGGUUUUGAUAGGAGUGAUGAAAGGGGCGAUGCUAUAUGUAAAGAAGGAGCUGAAGAUGUGCAGGUUAAGGUCCAGACGGGGACUCUCUCCUUGGGUCGGUGAUUGCAGGGCGAAUCUCCAACUGGAUGAGCCGCCGCUACAUGACCUGUUGGCUCAUCAUGCUCAACGUGUGAAAAUCUCCUUGGUCUUGCUCGUCAUUGGGGUCCUCGUCAUGUUGGAAUCCACUAAUGGCUCAUCAUGCAAGGCUGCCUGGGCCAUGCGAAGCGCUUUUUCGCCGGGACCUCCGACUCCAAGGAGGAGGCCGCACUCCAGCUCGCCGACAUCCCUAAGAAUUGCAACUAGGACGUUGUCAAGAUCACCAAGCAAAGCACAAGAGAGGGCAAGUGGUAGGAUCUCCUCCCACUUGAUCCCAUAUGUCCACCACAUGUUCAACGGAGAGCAUUUGUCAGGAUUAAUCGACUUAAAGAUAUUAUUUUCGAUUAACUGUAUAUUUCAGUUUAUAUUGCUUUUGUAAGGUAUUUUUUAUUUUUCUUUAUCA